GACGAACGCUGGCGGCGUGCCUAAUACAUGCAAGUCGAGCGGGGAUUAUGCUUGAUCGCUUCGGUGAGACGGCAUAUAUCCUAGCGGCGGACGGGUGAGUAACGCGUGGGUAAUCUACCUCGUAGUUCGGGAUAACAGGCCGAAAGGCUUGCUAAUACCGGAUGAGUUCAUGCUUAUGCAUAUAGGCAUGAAGAAAGGGCUAGCCCGCUAUGAGAUGAGCCCGCGUCCCAUUAGCUUGUUGGUGGGGUAAUGGCCUACCAAGGCAACGAUGGGUAGCCGGCCUGAGAGGGUGUACGGCCACACUGGGACUGAGACACGGCCCAGACUCCUACGGGGGCAGCAGUAGGGAAUUUUCGGCAAUGGGCGAAAGCCUGACCGAGCGACGCCGCGUGAGGGACGAAGGCCUUCGGGUUGUAAACCUCUGUCUGGGGGAUGAGAACGGACGGUACCCCGGAGGAAGCCCCGGCUAACUACGUGCCAGCAGCCGCGGUAAGAGUAGUACA
RNAcentral lists this ribosomal RNA (503 nucleotides) under uncultured bacterium. RNAcentral describes it as "bacterial SSU rRNA". It matches the Rfam family "Bacterial small subunit ribosomal RNA", at positions 28 to 531 of the family's 1533-position model. The record is from RNAcentral.